Arachis ipaensis is the source of this 507-nucleotide non-coding RNA. Lineage: Eukaryota; Viridiplantae; Streptophyta; Magnoliopsida; Fabales; Fabaceae. The record is from RefSeq and is a predicted model, not a curated record.
UCCAGACCGAACUAAACCGACCAACCGAAUCAAAAAAAUCGAAAACCGAAUAAAUCGAAAAAAAUAUGUUUUGCUGUUUUUAUUGCGGUUUGGUUCGGUUUUUGGUUCUGACAAUGAAAACCCUAACCGAACAACCGAACCGGUAAGGUAAAAAACCCUAAAAAAAACAAGCCCAUCCCACCCCCAAAUGAACGUAACCUAGCCUACCCAGUAACCCCCAAGCCUCACCCCCAAAUGAAGUACGAAACCUAGCCGCUCUCUCCCUAGGUCUCACAACCUCGCUCUUUGCACAUCCCAACUGUGGCGAGGGACCAUUCCACCCAUCACCUCGAGAGUUGUCAAUGGUAGCUCCUAGUGGUACUGAAACUAAUACUGUGAUUAGAAUCAAGAAACCCUAACUUGAGUCAAUAGCAUGCAGAAGGUUGGUUUGCGUUAAGAAGUUUAGCUGUUUUGUUGGAGAAGACAUCAUAACUUGGCUAUCUUUUAAUGGAAACUUAUUUUUAUUUU